RNAcentral lists this long non-coding RNA (427 nucleotides) under Ananas comosus (pineapple). RNAcentral describes it as "long non-coding RNA (ACOM_LNC002835)". The record is from RNAcentral. Lineage: Eukaryota; Viridiplantae; Streptophyta; Magnoliopsida; Poales; Bromeliaceae.
GAGUUAGGAUGGUGGAGAGUGUGAUUUUAGGCUUUUGAUGGUGAGGAAAAAAUAUUUUUAUAAUAGUUUGCCAUAUAAUAUAUAUUUAAAAGUAAUUGUAUUAUGUCAUGUGAUAUAUGAAAACUGUAAUAAAAGGUCAGUAAAAUAUAUAAAAUAUAUCUGUAUUGUAAAUUAUUUUGAUUCAGCUAUCUAAUUUUUUAAAAUUUUAAUUUUAAUACUCAAUAUUAUGAUUAAUUUGUUUGAUUUAUGUUAUUCGGUGGCUUUUUAUAUACAAAAUUUAAGCUAAUUAUUUACUUCAAUAAAUUUAUAGUUAUAUACAUUGCGUAAGCUAUGCUAAUUAACUCAGCAAUGAUAAAAUGAUGCAUUCAAAUUAUAAAAUUUAAGAAUAGUUAAUUGGUGCAAAUCAAGUAAGUUAAAAUAUUAGGUA